AACACGGGAAAACUCACCCGGCCCGGACACUGUGAGGAUUGACAGAUUGAUAGCUUUUUCAUGAUUCAGUGGAUGGUGGUGCAUGGCCGUUCUUAGUUCGUGGAGUGAUUUGUCUGGUUUAUUCCGAUAACGAGCGAGACUCUAACCUACUAAAUAGUUGAUAUUUUUUUUUGAAUAUACAACUUCUUAGAGGGAUUUGCGGUGUUUAGCCGAAAGAAAUUGAGCAAUAACAGGUCUGUGAUGCCCUUAGAUGUCCGGGGCUGCACGCGCGCUACACUGGCAAAAUCAGCGUGCUUGUCCUUCCCCGAAAGGGGCGGGUAAACCAUUGAAAAUUUGCCGUGAUUGGGAUCGGAAAUUGCAAUUAUUUUCCGUGAACGAGGAAUUCCAAGUAAGUGCGAGUCAUCAGCUCGCGUUGAUUACGUCCCUGCCCUUUGUACACACCGCCCGUCGCUGCCCGGGACUGAGCCAUUUCGAGAAAUUUGGGGACUGUUGAUUUAACUUUUUUAAAAAGUUUUUUUGAUGGAAACCAAUUUAAUCGCAGUGGCUUGAACCGGGC
RNAcentral lists this ribosomal RNA (556 nucleotides) under Meloidogyne fallax. RNAcentral describes it as "partial 18S ribosomal RNA". It matches the Rfam family "Eukaryotic small subunit ribosomal RNA", at positions 1202 to 1783 of the family's 1831-position model. Lineage: Eukaryota; Metazoa; Nematoda; Chromadorea; Rhabditida; Meloidogynidae. The record is from RNAcentral.